UUAUCAAAGAGCAAAGAUGAAAUUUUAGAAACAAAAACACUUUAAUAGAAACUGCUCCACGGUUCCCUCUGUCUUAUUUCUGUUCCUGCAUCCCCUACAGGUGAAUUCUAAUUCUGUCUAAUACAUGCCGACGAGCACAGACCUCCAGGGACGUGUGCAUUUAUCAGACCAAACCCAACCCGGGCCCACCUGGCAGCUUUAGUGACUCUAGAUAACCUCAGGCUGACCACAUGUCCCCAUGGUGACAACGAUGGAGACACCCCAUCGUUUAAAUGUCUGCCCUAUCAACUUUUGAUGAUACUGUCUAUGCCUAUCACGGUGACCAUGAGUAACAAGGAUUCAGGGUUCGAUUCCAGAGAGGGAGCCUGAAGAAUGGUUACCACAUCCAAGGAAGGCAUCAGGCAUGCAAAUUACCCAAUUACCCACUCCCGACCCAGGGAGGUAGAGGCAAAAAUAACACUACAAACACUUCUGAGGCUCUGUAAUUAGAAUGAGCACAUUUUAAAUACUUGAAUGAGGAUCUACUGGAGAUCAAGACUGAUGCCAGGCAGCUGGGGU
Molecule: non-coding RNA, 558 nt
Filed under: Tyto alba (common barn owl)
Lineage: Eukaryota; Metazoa; Chordata; Aves; Strigiformes; Tytonidae
Description: Eukaryotic small subunit ribosomal RNA
Rfam family: Eukaryotic small subunit ribosomal RNA
Source: Rfam by way of RNAcentral